AGUCGUAACAAGGUUUCCGUAGGUGAACCUGCGGAAGGAUCAUUGUCGAACCCUGCAUAGCAGAAUGACACGUGAACAAGUAAAGACACUCGGCUGAGCUAGGGCCGUACGUUAUGUUUUGGUCCUUGCGAUGCCUUGUCAGCUUGUGUGUAUGUUGCCCCGUACAUACUGGGCUUCAUGGAUAUCAUGCUGACAUAAUAACAAACCCCCGGCACGGGACGUGCCAAGGAUAAAUAAACUUAAAAGGGCUUGUGCUAUUGCGCCCCGUUUGCGGUGUGCGCAUUGUACUGGUGCCUUUGUAAACUUAAAACGACUCUCGGCAACGGAUAUCUCGGCUCAC
RNAcentral lists this unclassified non-coding RNA (340 nucleotides) under fungal sp. RNAcentral describes it as "partial internal transcribed spacer region". The stretch from base 1 to 45 matches the Rfam family "Eukaryotic small subunit ribosomal RNA", at positions 1787 to 1831 of the family's 1831-position model. Lineage: Eukaryota; Fungi. The record is from RNAcentral.